Molecule: ribosomal RNA, 822 nt
Filed under: Triticum aestivum (bread wheat)
Lineage: Eukaryota; Viridiplantae; Streptophyta; Magnoliopsida; Poales; Poaceae
Description: partial small subunit ribosomal RNA
Source: RNAcentral
AUGGGCUUCACGGUGUGCGACCCUGUGCACCGUCGCUAUAUCAUGCUGCCGGCCAUUCCCGUUGACCUGAACGCGCUGGUCCAUAAACGGGAACUCCUCGAUGUGGAGACUUUCCUUUCUCCCGGUGAGGACAAGAAGGACCCCUUGUCAUUCAGGGUGAUAUGCUUGGCGCAAUGCAGAAUGAAUCUGUUGCUUCUGGUCUUCUCCUCACUGAAUGGACAAUGGCAUGUUCUUACUUAUGACCAAUGGGGUGCGUCGGCCACACUUGCUUCAUUUGUAAAUUCUGAUCCUGGGCUGUCAAGUCGUCAAUUCGUCCGUGGAUGCUUCUAUUGGCAUUUGCAAUUGCAGAACAAAUUACUUGUGCUUGACUUGCGCGCAAUGGAGUUUUCUACUGUCAACCUCCAAUCUGAGUCACUAGGGAGUAAAAGAUUUGUCCUUGUCGAGGCAGAAAAAGGAAUGCUCGGGAUGCUCACUACACGUAACGGCUAUGAUAAGGACAUCAAAGAUCGCCGAAUUUGGCUCGCGUAUUCCAUUCUGACAAAUAACCAAUGGCAUGUGGAGAAGGUCAUCCGGUUACUGGUAAAGGAUGUGCAUCUAGUUGGUGCAGCCGGGGGAUUCCUGCUCAUGUACACGGUGUACUUAAAAUCUUCACGAGACAAGCUGGAGUUUCGAUACUUUUCGGUGGACCUUAAGACUUUCCAGGUCGAGUUGUUCGCUGCACUUUGUAAGCACUUACCUGGAGGACCGUACGCUGAUUUCCCAAACCCACCUGGACGACCAUACGCUGGUUUCCCACCAUCACUGUGUGCGCCAAAUAUAUGA